UACAGAGGUCUCAAGCGUUGUUCGGAUUCAUUGGGCGUAAAGGGUGCGUAGGCGGCGCGGUAAGUCGGGUGUGAAAUCUCGGAGCUUAACUCCGAAACUGCAUUCGAUACUGCCGUGCUUGAGGACUGGAGAGGAGACUGGAAUUUACGGUGUAGCGGUGAAAUGCGUAGAUAUCGUAAGGAAGACCAGUGGCGAAGGCGGGUCUCUGGGCCUUACCUGACGCUCAGGCGCGAAAGCUAGGGGAGCGAACUGG
Molecule: ribosomal RNA, 253 nt
Filed under: uncultured bacterium
Lineage: Bacteria
Description: partial 16S ribosomal RNA
Rfam family: Bacterial small subunit ribosomal RNA
Source: RNAcentral